RNAcentral lists this unclassified non-coding RNA (336 nucleotides) under soil metagenome. Its description in RNAcentral is "partial contains 5.8S ribosomal RNA, internal transcribed spacer 2, and large subunit ribosomal RNA". The stretch from base 1 to 120 matches the Rfam family "5.8S ribosomal RNA", at positions 35 to 154 of the family's 154-position model. The record is from RNAcentral.
GAUGAAGAACGUAGCGAAAUGCGAUAAGUAAUGUGAAUUGCAGAAUUCAGUGAAUCAUCGAAUCUUUGAACGCACAUUGCGCACGCCAGUAUUCUGGCGGGCAUGCCUGUUCGAGCGUCAUUUCAACCAUCAAGCCCCCGGCUUGUGUUGGGGACCUGCGGCUGCCGCAGGCCCUGAAAAGCAGUGGCGGGCUCGCUGUCACACCGAGCGUAGUAGCAUACAUCUCGCUCUGGGCGUGCUGCGGGUUCCGGCCGUUAAACCACCUUCAUAACCCAAGGUUGACCUCGGAUCAGGUAGGAAGACCCGCUGAACUUAAGCAUAUCAAUAAGCGGAGGA